AUGCAGCUGACGAGUUCCAAAUUAGACGAAACACGCGUCAAACUGGAU
This is a non-coding RNA of Schistosoma margrebowiei, 48 nucleotides long. Lineage: Eukaryota; Metazoa; Platyhelminthes; Trematoda; Strigeidida; Schistosomatidae. The record is from Rfam.